RNAcentral lists this ribosomal RNA (440 nucleotides) under uncultured bacterium. RNAcentral's name for it is "bacterial SSU rRNA". It matches the Rfam family "Bacterial small subunit ribosomal RNA", at positions 338 to 794 of the family's 1533-position model. The record is from RNAcentral.
CCUACGGGAGGCAGCAGUGAGGGAUAUUGCACAAUGGGGGAAACCCUGAUGCAGCGACGCCGCGUGGGUGAUGAAGGUCUUCGGAUCGUAAAACCCUUUUCUAGGUGACGAGCAAGGACGGUAGCCUAGGAAGAAGUCUCGGCUAACUACGUGCCAGCAGCCGCGGUAAAACGUAGGAGGCGAGCGUUAUCCGGAGUUACUGGGCGUAAAGCGUAUGUAGGCGGUUGGGCAAGUGGCGUGUGAAAGCUCCCGGCUAAACUGGGAGAGGACAGGUCAGACUGCCCGGCUAGAGGAUGGUAGAGGAGCGCGGAAUUCGGGGUGUAGCGGUGAAAUGUGUAGAGAUCCCGAGGAACACCAGUGGCGCAAGCGGCGCUCUGGGCCAUCACUGACGCUGAGAUACGAAAGCGUGGGGAGCGAACGGGAUUAGAUACCCUUGUAGU